RNAcentral lists this ribosomal RNA (422 nucleotides) under uncultured archaeon. RNAcentral describes it as "partial 16S ribosomal RNA". It matches the Rfam family "Archaeal small subunit ribosomal RNA", at positions 323 to 746 of the family's 1478-position model. The record is from RNAcentral.
CUACGGGCCGCAGCAGGCGCGGAACCUUUACAAUGCACGAAAGUGUGAUAAGGGGAUCCCAAGUGCCUUGCUUUUAGCAAGGCUUUUGCCAUAUGUAAAAAGUAUGGCGAAUAAGUGGUGGGCAAGACUUGUGCCAGCCGCCGCGGUAACACCAGCGCCACAAGUGGCAACCGCUUUUAUUGGGCCUAAAGCGUCCGUAGCUGGUUCAGUAAAUUUUCUGUGAAAUCGUUGGGCUUAACCUAACGCCGUGCAGGAAAGACUACUGGACUAGGGACCGGGAGGCGUCAGAGGUAUUCUUGAGGGAGCGGUAAUAUGCUAUAAUCUCAGGAGGACCCCCUGGGGCGAAAGCGUCUGACGAGAACGGAUCCGACGGUCAGGGACGAAAGCUAGGGGAGCAAACCGGAUUAGAUACCCGCGUAGUC